CAGCCGCCGCGGGAAUACAGAGGGUGCGAGCGUUAAUCGGAUUUACUGGGCGUAAAGCGUGCGUAGGCGGCUAAUUGAGUCGGAUGUGAAAUCCCCGAGCUUAACUUGGGAAUUGCAUUCGAUACUGGUUAGCUAGAGUGUGGGAGAGGAUGGUAGAAUUCCAGGUGUAGCGGUGAAAUGCGUAGAGAUCUGGAGGAAUACCGAUGGCGAAGGCAGUCAUCUGGCCUAACACUGACGCUGAGGUACGAAAGCAUGGGGAGCAAACAGGAUUAGAUACCCCAGUAGUCCCUGUCUCUUAUAC
RNAcentral lists this ribosomal RNA (301 nucleotides) under uncultured bacterium. RNAcentral's name for it is "partial 16S ribosomal RNA". It matches the Rfam family "Bacterial small subunit ribosomal RNA", at positions 509 to 807 of the family's 1533-position model. The record is from RNAcentral.